GGAAUUCGUGAGACCCGCGCGCCAAACGCUGAAGGAUCGCAAACCGGUCUCAUUGGAGUAAGUGCUCCUGGCCUCUCUUUACUGUCUUUUUCCUUCCUUGUUGAAUAUGCGGGAGUCCGAUGGGAUGUGCUACGGGGAUGAUUUCAAAAACUGAACUCUCUCUUUCUGAUGGAUUAGUGGAGAAAACAUAAAAACUCUGAGUAGCACCAUCCGUGGCAAAUGUUUGGGCUGACUCUGUAUGACUUUGCAUCUUUCAUUUCCCUCUAUGUACAAGUC
This 276-nucleotide small RNA is filed under the name Bos taurus (domestic cattle). The stretch from base 130 to 205 matches the Rfam family "Small nucleolar RNA SNORD26". The record is from RNAcentral. Lineage: Eukaryota; Metazoa; Chordata; Mammalia; Artiodactyla; Bovidae.